Molecule: ribosomal RNA, 253 nt
Filed under: uncultured bacterium
Lineage: Bacteria
Description: partial 16S ribosomal RNA
Rfam family: Bacterial small subunit ribosomal RNA
Source: RNAcentral
UACGUAGGGUGCGAGCGUUAAUCGGAAUUACUGGGCGUAAAGCGUGCGCAGGCGGUUCGUUAUGUCCGAUGUGAAAGCCCCGAGCUUAACUUGGGAAUGGCAUUGGAAACUGUGGUGCUGGAGUGUGGGAGAGGUGCGUGGAAUUCCCGGUGUAGCGGUGAAAUGCGCAGAUAUCAGGAGGAGCACCAAUGGCGAAGGCAGCUCGCUGGGACGUGACUGACGCUGAGACGCGAAAGCGUGGGGAGCAAACAGG